Molecule: ribosomal RNA, 253 nt
Filed under: uncultured bacterium
Lineage: Bacteria
Description: partial 16S ribosomal RNA
Rfam family: Bacterial small subunit ribosomal RNA
Source: RNAcentral
UACGUAGGGGGCUAGCGUUGUCCGGAUUUAUUGGGCGUAAAGAGCGUGUAGGCGGCUAUGCAGGUCCGCUGUGAAAACUCGAGGCUCAACCUCGAGACGUCGGUGGAAACCGCAUGGCUAGAGUCCGGAAGAGGAGAGUGGAAUUCCCGGUGUAGCGGUGAAAUGCGCAGAUAUCGGGAAGAACACCCGUGGCGAAGGCGGCUCUCUGGGACGGUACUGACGCUGAGACGCGAAAGCGUGGGGAGCGAACAGG